Molecule: ribosomal RNA, 468 nt
Filed under: uncultured bacterium
Lineage: Bacteria
Description: partial 16S ribosomal RNA
Rfam family: Bacterial small subunit ribosomal RNA
Source: RNAcentral
GACGAACGCUGGCGGCGUGCUUAGCACAUGCAAGUCGAACGGAAAGGCCCUGCUUUUGUGGGGUGCUCGAGUGGCGAACGGGUGAGUAACACGUGAGUAACCUGCCCUUGACUUUGGGAUAACUUCAGGAAACUGGGGCUAAUACCGGAUAGGAGCUCCUGCUGCAUGGUGGGGGUUGGAAAGUUUCGGCGGUUGGGGAUGGACUCGCGGCUUAUCAGCUUGUUGGUGGGGUAGUGGCUUACCAAGGCUUUGACGGGUAGCCGGCCUGAGAGGGUGACCGGCCACAUUGGGACUGAGAUACGGCCCAGACUCCUACGGGAGGCAGCAGUGGGGAAUAUUGCACAAUGGGCGGAAGCCUGAUGCAGCAACGCCGCGUGCGGGAAGACGGCCUUCGGGUUGUAAACCGCUUUCGCCUGUGACGAAGCGUGAGUGACGGUAAUGGGUAAAGAAGCACCGGCUAACUACGUG